Molecule: transfer RNA, 89 nt
Filed under: Felis catus (domestic cat)
Lineage: Eukaryota; Metazoa; Chordata; Mammalia; Carnivora; Felidae
Rfam family: tRNA
About the family: Transfer RNA (tRNA) molecules are approximately 80 nucleotides in length. Their secondary structure includes four short double-helical elements and three loops (D, anti-codon, and T loops). Further hydrogen bonds mediate the characteristic L-shaped molecular structure. tRNAs have two regions of fundamental functional importance: the anti-codon, which is responsible for specific mRNA codon recognition, and the 3' end, to which the tRNAs corresponding amino acid is attached (by aminoacyl-tRNA synthetases). tRNAs cope with the degeneracy of the genetic code in two manners: having more than one tRNA (with a specific anti-codon) for a particular amino acid; and 'wobble' base-pairing, i.e. permitting non-standard base-pairing at the 3rd anti-codon position.
Source: Rfam by way of RNAcentral
GCCUGGGUGGCUCAGUCGUCGGGUAAAGUGUCUGACUUCGGCUCAGGUCAUGAUCUCGUGGUCUGUGGGUUCAAGCCCCACAUCAGGCU